AAGUCGUAACAAGGUUUCCGUAGGUGAACCUGCGGAAGGAUCAUUAUCGAGUUUUUGAACGGGUUGUCGCUGGUCCUUUUAACGAGGGCAAUGUGCACGCCUGGCUCAAUCCCACUCUUUAACCUCUGUGCACUUCAUGUAAGAAAUGGUGGAAAAGCUAGCUUGACUCUCUUUUAUUUUAAAAAAGUUAGCUGGUUAGUUCAGAAGCCUUUCUUAUGUUUUAUUACAAACGCUUCAGUUAUAGAAUGUUUUACUGUGUAUAACACAAAUAUAUACAACUUUCAGCAACGGAUCUCUUGGCUCUC
RNAcentral lists this unclassified non-coding RNA (305 nucleotides) under Macrohyporia dictyopora. Its description in RNAcentral is "partial internal transcribed spacer region". The stretch from base 1 to 46 matches the Rfam family "Eukaryotic small subunit ribosomal RNA", at positions 1786 to 1831 of the family's 1831-position model. The record is from RNAcentral. Lineage: Eukaryota; Fungi; Basidiomycota; Agaricomycetes; Polyporales.